AAUUUUGGGUGAUUGCGGCUGGUUUGUAUCAGCUGAGGAAAGUCCAUGCUCGCACAGACUGCGAUGUCUGUAGUGUUCGUGCUCGGUGAAAAAAUAAGCCGGGGGACCAGUAAUGGUUACGGCGGGAAAAACGGCUAAGGCUUCGGCUAUGCUCGAGUAUUCCUGAAAAGUGCCACAGUGACGAAGCAAUGUUGGAAACAGCAUUGAUGGAACGCGGUAAACCCCUCGAGCGGGAAACCCAAACUUAUGGUAGGGGAGCUUCACAUAGGUAAUUGAACUGAUUGUGGGGGGAGACUUUAUGUCUCGAGAUAGAUGAUUGCCACUGCACAAUUGAGCCUGAAGAUUGUGCUUCGACAAAACAUGGCUUACAGAA
This 373-nucleotide RNase P RNA is filed under the name Lactobacillus sp. Its description in RNAcentral is "RNase P RNA component class B". It matches the Rfam family "Bacterial RNase P class B". From Rfam's summary of the family: Ribonuclease P (RNase P) is a ubiquitous endoribonuclease, found in archaea, bacteria and eukarya as well as chloroplasts and mitochondria. RNAcentral also lists the same sequence under 1 other name. Lineage: Bacteria; Bacillati; Bacillota; Bacilli; Lactobacillales; Lactobacillaceae. The record is from RNAcentral.